Capsicum annuum is the source of this 703-nucleotide long non-coding RNA. RefSeq lists it as uncharacterized. The record is from RefSeq and is a predicted model, not a curated record. The transcript has 3 exons. NCBI's taxonomy places the organism in Eukaryota, Viridiplantae, Streptophyta, Magnoliopsida, Solanales, Solanaceae.
AUUGAAGCCUUCAUGCCUUGGUAGUCUUUUGACUCAACUCGAAUAGCCUACCUAUUGGGCACCAAUAAGAGAGUUUUCAUAUGGACUCAUCAUCUGAAGUAGGGAUUGAUAGCUUUCAUGGACGGAUGGAAAUGAUUGACCAAAGUACAAAAAUAAUAUUUGAAUGAGGAAAUUCAAAUAUUACUAUAUGCUAACUAAUACGCACGUGUAAAAUGUUAAGCCCCAGCAAAAAUAACAAGCAUAUAUACCAUGUGAAUCUCCUUCAGCCAAGCAACUACAGAUUGAAUAUUUUAUAUUACGAAGGAAGGUAUAGUAGAGGCCAUAAAAGGAUAAGAGCAAGACUUGAGUGAAACUGCAGGAACAAAUCCAAAAUAGGUUUCAAUUCCAAUGGUGAAAUGUUUGUUUUCACUUUUAUGAUUGGUUGUUUUCAGACGUGAUAGAUGAAUAUCAAUCGACUUUGAGAAAAAAUUUGUGUAAAGGUGGUGGCAGAUGAGUGUCGGUCGGCUUUGAAUUGUGUAAAGCUUAGAUUUAGUUGUAUUAUUUUGGUAUAUCUAUUAUCAUAUUGUUUUGUUUUAGUUUAUUGGUAAUAGAUGAAUGUCGGUCAGUUUUGAGGAAAGUUUUGUAUAAAGGUUAGGUUUAAUUGUGUCGUUUUGAUAUCUGUAUUAUCGUGUUAAUUGUUUUAUUGUAGUUUACAUGUGGUAGA